CCUACGGGAGGCAGCAGUGGGGAAUAUUGCGCAAUGGGCGAAAGCCUGACGCAGCGACGCCGCGUGAGGGAUGAAGGUCUUCGGAUCGUAAACCUCUGUCAGCAGGGAAGAAGGGUCACUGUGCUAAUCAGCAGUGAAUUGACGGUACCUGCAAAGGAAGCACCGGCUAACUCCGUGACAGCAGCCGCGGUAAUACGGAGGGUGCGAGCGUUAAUCGGAAUUACGGGGCGUACAGCGCUCGUAUGCGGUAUGUCAAGUCAAGGGGGAAGUCCCCGGGCUCAACGUGGGGACUGCCUUUGAAACUGGCAAACUGGAGAGUGUGAGAGGUAAGUGGAAUUCCAGGUGGAGGAGUGAAAUCCGUAGAUAUCUGGAGGAACAUCAGUGGCGAAGGCGACUAUCUGGCACAUAACUGACGCUGAGGAGCGAAAGCGUAGGUAGCAAACAGGAUUAGAUACCCCAGUAGUC
This 465-nucleotide ribosomal RNA is filed under the name uncultured bacterium. RNAcentral describes it as "partial 16S ribosomal RNA". It matches the Rfam family "Bacterial small subunit ribosomal RNA", at positions 338 to 795 of the family's 1533-position model. The record is from RNAcentral.